UUUAAAAGGGACGGCGAAGUUGCCUGCUUUCUUCUCGACAGCUAUGAGAGAGAACUGAGAGCAGUCACAUCAACAUCAAUGAAGGGAAAGCCCUCUAGUAUUAACUACUCCAGAAGUGUCCAGCAUUUCUAGUGGGACAGACAGAUGAGCAUCUUGGCGCAAUUGCAGAAGCCCCUGAAAUUGCGAACCUUGAACAGAGGAUCAGCUUUCCAGGAGACUGCAAAUUUAGAAUGAUGGCCCAUGUUGCUUCAAAGGCACCAUACAAAAAGGAAGGGUUCAUCUGUAAAUACCAUAAUUUGUUAAUUUCUGUAAAUAAAUAUAUUGCAAAUAACAUUAUUGCCCAUGUUACUGUCAUUU
Molecule: long non-coding RNA, 357 nt
Organism: Alosa sapidissima (American shad)
Lineage: Eukaryota; Metazoa; Chordata; Actinopteri; Clupeiformes; Clupeidae
Exons: 4
Source: RefSeq, a predicted model, not a curated record